RNA transcript from Mya arenaria, 2395 nucleotides. RefSeq lists it as uncharacterized. The record is from RefSeq and is a predicted model, not a curated record. NCBI's taxonomy places the organism in Eukaryota, Metazoa, Mollusca, Bivalvia, Myida, Myidae. The transcript is spliced from 6 exons.
CGAUUACAAGUUUGCUCAGUCUUGGAGCACUUAAGGAAUAGAGAAGAAAUUGAGAAAGAUCCAACACAAUGCUUUUCAAAUACACCCUGAUAUUAGUUAUCUGCAUAAUCCUGAUUGACCCAUCUGAUGCAAAGAAGGAGAAGAAGAAGUCUAAGAAGAAGGAGAAGACGAAGACGAAGACAAAGGAAAAGCGCAGCGUAACGGAUGUCGAGCCGCCGAAACUAGGCUGUAAGGCUCAGUUCUCAGUAGUGUGUCCAGUUGACAUGACGGCGGCCGACGUAGCGAUAGCGGGUGGAACUGCCCGCACGGGGGCUGUAGUGGCUGCAUUUGCAGCUGCUGGAGUUGCUGUGCGAAAGAACGCGUGCAAAGUAGAGGAGAAAAACACUUGCAAACGUAUUCUUUUUACCAUGGUCACAAAAAAACUUGCGGCAAAAAUGAAGAACCAAACAACUUUUCUUUUUUAAGGUCAACAAUACUGGUUGAGAAGCAGUUUCCGACGGAAAGCAGUUUCCGACAAAUCGCUUUUUCGCUUACUUUUUUUAGAUCUUCAUAAAGAAGGUACUGCAAUUCAACUAUAUGGUAACUAGGCAAUCAAAAGUUGAAAUUCUUACCGAGACACGUAAGAAACUUUUAUUAUUAUUUAAUGUUUAAUGUUUAUUUUUCAUUUUUUACACAAACUUGCACGUGGGGGAUCGGCACGCGCAUCGUAUUGCGCAUGCGUGUAAACCUAAUUUGCAUAUCUAUGAAAAGCUACAAGGUUUUCCUAAAUUGACUUAUACAAUCGACGAUCAUUGUGUACAUAUUUGUGAACACUGAUGUCAUGCAUGUUUCGCACCCAUAUUCACUUAAAUGUAUACAAACACAAGUUUCUAUCAGAGAUGAAUCAAAAUAUCAUUGUUAUUCAGUGUCUGCCUAAUUUUGAGUAUGAAUUGAUUGUCGUAAAUUUUAAGGUUUAAAAUUUUCGUUAAUGCUGAAAAAUUAAUGAAUAUUUCUCUUAAUACAGUCUUAUAUUAAGUAUAUUAAAUAAACGAAUAAUAAAAACACAUAAUAGGCACCUUAAAUCUGCCCCGCACUCGAUUUGUCGGAAACUGCUUCUCAUCACAAACUAAUCUGAACAGUGUAAGUUCCCUCUUUGCGCCCCUAUUAGAUACACUAUAUGUGACGUCACACAUGUGAAAAAUAUAUCGAUAAUAGCAGCUUGAGCUGUAGUUAUCUAAAAUGUGAACCAAUUUUAUAGGUAUUUAAACACGUAUAAAUAAGUCAAUAAAAAUGUAUAAAAACUGUCGGAAACUGCUUCUCAGCCAGUAAUGAAAAUUUAGUGCCGUUUCCUGACGAUAUAAGCGAUUAUGACGUCAACGGGGACAAACGCGUGAACUACGAAGAGUUUGUGUUCGCAGUUACGAGGACGGUCAACCUGGCCGAGCCAACGGAGCUGCGCAGACCUUUCACGUUUGCUGAUGUCAAUGGUGACGGUGAAUUGGACACACAGGAGUUUAUUACUGCCCCGUUCUUGUUUGCGCAUGUCGAGCAUUCAAAAUCAACAAACACAAUGAGCACCAUCAUCCGAGAAUAGAGGAAUUUAGCCGACUUGGCAUAAUAUGUAUAUAAUAUAUGUAUAAUAUUUACGUUCAGAAAUGUAAUGUCUCCUAACAGUAAUUGUAUUUUCUAAAAUAAUCAUGACUUUCUAAUUGAUCGAUAUGCAAGUGACGUUUUAUGUAUUGUUUAUACGAUUCACAGCCUAAUGGUUAAGGCAUUUUCGCUUGAUUUAAUCGAAUAUAUGUAUGCUACACCGGCAAUUACUUUCAAUUAUUUACUUAAGCAAUUUUUAUCUUUGCAUUUAUUUAAUAAAGAAAACAAUGUAUUCCUUGCAAUAUUUUAAUGUCUAUUGAAUUUUGUAAAUGUGUAUUGUUCAUACUAUUUUUUGAAAACUUAAUACUAAAUCAACAAAUGUGUUUGAUAAGGAUUUAAGAGUUUUACUUAAAUUUCUUCCUUGUCCAUAAAUGGCUUUUUCUUACAUCGAUGAGAAUUUAAUAUCAUCUUCUUAUUUAUUCCUGAUUAUCAUGCCAUCUUUAUCGCAAUGUUUGUGUUGACCCACGUUGGCAACCGUUGUCCUCGAGAUGGGUCAUUGUUAGAGAUUGGUAUAUAAACCCCUUCUUUAACUCGUACAUAUAUAACAACACAUAUUACCAUAAUAUUCUGGAAUAGAUGUCCACGAUUUCGUCCCCUGGGUGGAGGCUUCAUCGGGGGAAGCCGUGGUCGAAAUAAAACUUAUUUUGAAAAAAUAUUUAAGGGGUUUAUUGACAACAUAUAUUUUAUGGAAACAAAUUAAAAACUGUAAAACUAAAUACUGUUUAAAAUAUUAUUAUUGCGUUAUCUAUCAUGCCAUCAUGCUAUA